AUGCCGCCGCGGAUGACCUCGGCGGCGAGUGGCGUCGCGCCGGCGCCGGCCCGAGCCGCCGCCCCCUCCUCCUCAAAGCUCCCCAAUGCGGCGCGGCCAAAGAAGGGCAAGACAUCGGCAAAGAAAAACAAGGCGGCGGACGGCUCCGGCACCUCCAAGGCGAAGAGGAAGAAGCUUGCGGGGCGUGCGACGGGCGCGGCGGCUGCCGAAGUGCCGGCAAGCUCACUCGUUGAGCCGGCGGCCGGCGCGCACAACAUGUUCCACGAAAUGCCUCCAAGUCUCAGUGAUGAUGCAUACAUGUCAACAAUGGGUGUUGGCUCCAACAAUUCGCAUUGGUCUCAAACCAAUGACAUGCAUUUUCAAGACCAUGAGUUCGAGGUGGACGAGGAGGGUGAGGGCAUUGUCGACGCACCAAAAGGAAGAGCGGGCAAUUACACCAACACCGAUGACAUCUUACUAUACAAUACUUGGUUGCAAGUGUCGAGGGAUCCAUCCGUUGGAGGUGAUCAAAGUAGAGAUGCUUAUUGGAACCGGAUGAAGGAACACUUUGAUGCUCGCAACGUGAGUGGAAUUGACCGCUCCAACCGAUCACUUAGGUCCCGGUGGUCGACAAUCAACUCGGAUUGUCAAAGGUGGGCGGCUUGUCAAAAGGCAGUUGACAAGUUGAACCCAAGUGGCACAAAUGAGGACGAUAGAUACAACAUUGCGCAAAACUUGUUCAAAGAAGAGGAGAGGAAAACCAAGAAGGGGAAGAUCAAGAAAGGAAGGGUCUUUACUUUGCCUCAUUGCUAUGAUGUGUUGAAGGAUGAUGAGAAAUGGAAGAAGUGUGAAGAUUUGGAUGAUUUGCAUUUGAGCGACAAACGAAAGCGAACAAUUAAGUUGGAUGAUGAUGAGGAGGAGGAGGAUGCAUCAAGUUAUGACGGCAAGAGAAGCCCCACACUCAACUCGGUUUCAUACUCGAAGCCAAAGCGGCCGGAUGGGUGCAAGAAAGACAAAACCGAAAAGAAGAAGAGGAAAGGAGAUGAUGAGCUCAAAAAUGCUAUGGAAGCUAUUGUGAAGGCAAGAAAAGAAGCCAACGAGAAGCACUUGUUCUUCUUGGACACAACUAACCUCAAUGCGGCGCAAAAGGAGUAUGUCAAUCUUGCCCAACAAGAAGUCUUGAUCCAAAAAAGAGCCAUGGUUCGUGCAAUGGGUGGCGGUGCCCUCGGCGCAAUGGGUGGCGGUGACAUCGGCGCCAUGGGUGGCGGUGGCCUCGGCGCCAUGGGUGGCAUGGGUGGCUUGGGUGGCGGUGGCUUCGGCGCCAUGGGUGGCAUGGGUGGCUUGGGUGGCUUUGGAGCACCCCCCGACUCUAUGGCCAUGAUGGGAGGCAUGAGUUUUGCUUCUCUCAUGGGAGGCAUGGGUGCACCUCCGGCCGCCAUGGGCGGAAUGUCCCCCAUGUGCCAAACAAGGAAAGUUCCCACCCCCUCGUGUGCCCCACGUCUCCCGCGAAUAACAAACAGAAAAAAAACACAACUACCCUCCCUUCACGUGAUCUCCCACCCCAUCCUCCACCAGGGACCCUACGUCCCCAGGGUACCUCGCGGCAACUCUCUUCUUCCCCCAGCCAGCUCCCCCUCCCACGGCAAAAACAAAAGUGAAAACAUAGAAGGGCGUGAGAAAAAUCAAAGUCAGAUAGAUCGUGGGAAAUUCGUGAAGAAGACAAUGUUGUCUGCAACUAUUUGUGCUGAUCAAGCAACAAUCUGA
RNAcentral lists this ribosomal RNA (1743 nucleotides) under Triticum aestivum (bread wheat). RNAcentral describes it as "partial small subunit ribosomal RNA". Lineage: Eukaryota; Viridiplantae; Streptophyta; Magnoliopsida; Poales; Poaceae. The record is from RNAcentral.